GGGCCAUCGCUCAACGGAUAAAAGGUACUCCGGGGAUAACAGGCUGAUACCGCCCAAGAGUUCAUAUCGACGGCGGUGUUUGGCACCUCGAUGUCGGCUCAUCUCAUCCUGGGGCUGAAGCAGGUCCCAAGGGUAUGGCUGUUCGCCAUUUAAAGAGGUACGCGAGCUGGGUUUAGAACGUCGUGAGACAGUUCGGUCCCUAUCUGCCGUGGGCGUUUGAGAAUUGAGGGAAGCUGCUCCUAGUACGAGAGGACCGGAGUGGACGAACCUCUGGUGUUCCGGUUGUCACGCCAGUGGCAUUGCCGGGUAGCUACGUUCGGAAGGGAUAACCGCUGAAAGCAUCUAAGCGGGAAGCCCCUCCCAAGAUUAGUUCUCACUAGACUCUCGAAGUCUCUAAAGGUCCGUCGAAGACUACGACGUUGAUAGGCCAGGUGUGGAAGCACAGUAAUGUGUGUAGCUAACUGGUACUAAUUGACCGUGCGGCUUGACCAU
Molecule: ribosomal RNA, 492 nt
Filed under: Gammaproteobacteria bacterium
Lineage: Bacteria; Pseudomonadati; Pseudomonadota; Gammaproteobacteria
Description: partial 23S ribosomal RNA
Rfam family: Bacterial large subunit ribosomal RNA
Source: RNAcentral